UGUUUGGGUUUUUCUCUUGCAUGCUAAAUGUGCUUAUUGGACAUUUCUAUAUCCUUCUUAACCAAGAACAGAAUAAAGGCAGGUAGCACUGUGGCAACUAGUAUUCAAAAGCAGAACCAAAGGUGACCAGCAAUUCAGAAGGGAUAUAAACUGAUACUUCAUUUAAAGGCAAUGAACCUCAAACACAGUCUUUUAUUGAAAGAGUUCCUUCUUUUUCUUCCCUUUCUUCCUCAGCAGUCAUGUAACAGAAGCAAUUAACAUUUGGCAGUGUCCCCUGGAGUGGAACACCUCAUAAAUCUCCCGCUACGAAAGCUGAGACAACACGAGUCUCUUACUCCGUGCUGCUCCGUGGGAAAGAAAGUGGGCAUUGUUCAGCAUCCAGGCUCAGGUUGUCUAGCUCCAUGGAAAGGGGUCUUGCUGUGUGGAAGGAUCAGUGUCACCUGUUCGAAGGCAGAGGUAGCCCAGCAGAUGUGGACCUGCGAUUGAAAAGGAUCCUACAAGGAGCAGGUAAGAACCCCCUGAUAAUCCUUCAUGUAGGAACGAAUGAUACGGCUAGGUUCUCGUUAGAGAGGAUCAAGGGAGAUUAUGCCAGGCUGGGGAAGACGCUCAGGGAGA
Molecule: long non-coding RNA, 615 nt
Filed under: Chrysemys picta bellii (western painted turtle)
Lineage: Eukaryota; Metazoa; Chordata; Testudines; Emydidae
Description: lncRNA (ENSCPBG00000025950.1)
Source: RNAcentral